CGCGUAGGCGGGAUGGCAAGUCGGUCGUGAAAUCCUUCGGCUCAACCGAAGAACGUCGAUCGAUACUGCUGUUCUUGAGGGUUGCAGAGGAGACUGGAGUUCCCGGUGUAGCGGUGAAAUGUGUAGAGAUCGGGAGGAACACCGGUGGCGAAGGCGGGUCUCUGGGCAAUCCCUGACGCUGAGGCGCGAAAGCGUGGGGAGCAAACGGGAUUAGAUACCCCGGUAGUCCACGCUGUAAACGAUGACGACUAGGUGUGGGGGGGUUCAGUCCCCUCCGUGCCGCAGCUAACGCAUUAAGUCGUCCGCCUGGGGAGUACGGCCGCAAGGUUGAA
RNAcentral lists this ribosomal RNA (332 nucleotides) under uncultured bacterium. RNAcentral's name for it is "bacterial SSU rRNA". It matches the Rfam family "Bacterial small subunit ribosomal RNA", at positions 568 to 898 of the family's 1533-position model. The record is from RNAcentral.